Molecule: ribosomal RNA, 955 nt
Filed under: uncultured organism
Description: bacterial SSU rRNA
Rfam family: Bacterial small subunit ribosomal RNA
Source: RNAcentral
UUGAUCCUGGCUCAGGAUGAACGCUGGCGGUCUGCUUAACACAUGCAAGUCGGACGCAACCUUCGGGUUGAGUGGCGGACGGGUGAGUAACGCGUGAGAAUCUGCCUUGGGGUCGGGGACAACCACUGGAAACGGUGGCUAAUACCGGAUAAGCCUUUGGGUAAAAAAUUUAUUGCCCCAAGAGGAGCUCGCGUCUGAUUAGCUAGUUGGUGAGGUAAGAGCUCACCAAGGCAGCGAUCAGUAGCUGGUCUGAGAGGACGAUCAGCCACACUGGGACUGAGACACGGCCCAGACUCCUACGGGAGGCAGCAGUGGGGAAUUUUCCGCAAUGGGCGAAAGCCUGACGGAGCAAGACCGCGUGAGGGAGGAAGGCUCUUGGGUUGUAAACCUCUUUUCUCAGGGAAGAAGCUCUGACGGUACCUGAGGAAUCAGCCUCGGCUAACUCCGUGCCAGCAGCCGCGGUAAUACGGAGGAGGCAAGCGUUAUCCGGAAUUAUUGGGCGUAAAGCGUCCGCAGGUGGCGAUUCAAGUCUGCUGUCAAAGCACGGGGCUUAACUCCGUUAAGGCAGUGGAAACUGAAUAGCUAGAGUGCCGUAGGGGUAGAGGGAAUUCCCGGUGUAGCGGUGAAAUGCGUAGAGAUCGGGAAGAACAUCGGUGGCGAAAGCGCUCUACUGGACGGCAACUGACACUCAGGGACGAAAGCUAGGGGAGCGAAUGGGAUUAGAUACCCCAGUAGUCCUAGCUGUAACCGAUGGAUACUAGGUGUGGCUUGUAUCGACCCGAGCUGUGCCGAAGCUAACGCGUUAAGUAUCCCGACUGGGGAGUACGCACGCAAGUGUGAAACUCAAAGGAAUUGACGGGGGCCCGCACAAGCGGGUGGAGUAUGUGGUUUAAUUCGAUGCAACGCGAAGAACCUUACCAGGGCAUGACAUGUCCGGAAUCCCGGUGAAAGCUGG